This 248-nucleotide ribosomal RNA is filed under the name uncultured bacterium. RNAcentral's name for it is "partial 16S ribosomal RNA". It matches the Rfam family "Bacterial small subunit ribosomal RNA", at positions 524 to 771 of the family's 1533-position model. The record is from RNAcentral.
UACGAAGGGUGCAAGCGUUAAUCGGAAUUACUGGGCGUAAAGGGUGCGUAGGCGGUUCGUUAAGUCUGUCGUGAAAUCCCCGGGCUCAACCUGGGAAUGGCGAUGGAUACUGGCGAGCUAGAGUGUGUCAGAGGAUGGUGGAAUUCCCGGUGUAGCGGUGAAAUGCGUAGAGAUCGGGAGGAACAUCAGUGGCGAAGGCGGCCAUCUGGGACAACACUGACGCUGAAGCACGAAAGCGUGGGGAGCAA